UGCUGAGGUUUGGUAUUUGCGAGUCAUUGAAUGCAGCAUUACUAUUGUUGUAAGGAGUUGAACUCAACAGCUGCCGACCAAACCACAUACGAUGUUCACAAAUUUUUAUUUACUUAUUCUCUAAAAGACUAGAAGACCUACUCAAAGACAACUUUAACAGAUAAAUUACAGCAUUUGCCUCAAAGAGAGAGACGUUUAAGCGAACUGAAAAGGUUCUCAUGCUAAUAUCCUUUCCAGAGAGCCUAGCAGGGCCAUUACUGCCACCUGUCGUGUUGGAAGUCGUAUAAAAUGGCCUACUUUAACAAACUAUUUGUUUGUUGGAGUCGCACAACAUAUAUUUGAAUUCAACCGACGUGUGUUUAAAGAGUCAAAAGGCUGCAACGUUAGCACAUUUCAGAAUAUAGCCUUAGCACCGACCGUGAUGCCUACAACGACUUAAAAGACUAUUUCUCGUGUGAAAGUGGCAGGUCCUUAACUGCCUGAUUGCCACUGUGAAGCUCAGGAAUUUCCUUACGCCGACUUUCCUGCAUGGCAAAGGCACAGGACUGAUUCCUUCCCUGCUGAAACAGCAAAUCCUUGAGUCAGACAUGAGGGGAGGCUCAUUCGCUGCUGCCAGUCCUAAGAUUAUUAUCAUUAAGAGGAAGCAAAUAAAAUGAUUCCAUCGCUGUAAAUACUGCAGAGAAGAGACAGAGCCCGGGCCCGUCAGAGGGAAUGAAAAUGAGGAAUGGAUGACUCGUGCGAGUUGCUGACUUCUGAACUGAUAGACGUCCACUCCCAGGCAGGCUUGAUGGGGGCAGACGUGUCCCAAAGGGCCCGGGCUGGAUUUGGACUCAGGAUGCUGUGGUGAGGACUCAGUCUCGCUGUGUGGUACAUGCUCUACCAGCCAAGGAGCACACUUAAGUGAGCCAGGUACGAGAGUUGCAACCAUGUGAGGGAGGAAAAGCUCAUCAAGGCUUACGGGAUGACAAAUUCCACCAUAUGCAUGUGGAUCUUCAACUGGCACUGAUGCAUGAACAGUAGGUAAAAAGUUUGAAUCACAAGCGCCGGUCAGAAAGUUUUUCAGAGGCAGUUUGGUGAAUGAAGGUGUGGGCGAGUCCAUGUGGCGAUGCAGAUGACGUAAAGACACAGUAGGUGUGUGCAGCAGUGGAGUGAUAAGGUGAGGUGGUGGCGGUGGUGGGCGCUAUAGUGUAACGCCUGUCACCGCACACGCAUGCUUUGUGUACACA
Long non-coding RNA from Lates calcarifer (barramundi perch), 1226 nucleotides. RefSeq lists it as uncharacterized. The transcript has 6 exons. The record is from RefSeq and is a predicted model, not a curated record. NCBI's taxonomy places the organism in Eukaryota, Metazoa, Chordata, Actinopteri, Centropomidae.